UACGUAGGGUGCGAGCGUUGUCCGGAAUUAUUGGGCGUAAAGAGCUCGUAGGCGGUGUGUCACGUCGGCCGUGAAAACCUGCAGCUUAACUGUGGGCGUGCGGUCGAUACGGGCAUCACUGGAGUUCGGCAGGGGAGACUGGAAUUCCUGGUGUAGCGGUGAAAUGCGUAGAUAUCGAGAGGAACACCUGCGGCGAAGGCGGGUUGCUGGGCUGAUACUGACGCUGAUGCGCGAAAGCCAGGGGAGCGAACGGG
This 254-nucleotide ribosomal RNA is filed under the name uncultured bacterium. RNAcentral describes it as "partial 16S ribosomal RNA". It matches the Rfam family "Bacterial small subunit ribosomal RNA", at positions 524 to 776 of the family's 1533-position model. The record is from RNAcentral.